Molecule: long non-coding RNA, 3135 nt
Organism: Astatotilapia calliptera (eastern happy)
Lineage: Eukaryota; Metazoa; Chordata; Actinopteri; Cichliformes; Cichlidae
Source: Ensembl
GCUCCAUGUUAGAUGCUAACGCUGACCGCAGCAUGAUUGAAAUGGUAAAACAAACAAAACAAACAAAGAAACACAUAAGUCUUAGUAUCAUUACUUGCCAAUCAUAAUUAAAAUGUUGAGUAAUAGUAUUCACCAAACAGAAUAUGAGCCAUUUAUUUUUCCUUUCCAGGUGCAGUGUGAAUCUUGCCAAAGAUGGGCACAUUUUGCAUGUGAAAAAUAUAAAGAGAGCAACCAAGAAUAUAAAUGCCAAAAAUGUAGCCAGAGUCAGACAGAGACUGUGCAGAGACUGUAGAAGGACAGAGCAGCAGCAGAGCAGUCCAGAUACACUGAUGAUCCUCUGUCAGAUCCAGAGGGACACACAGGGAUGAUGCUGGACUCUACAUUGUGUCUGACAGUGGAGCUGUUCUCAGAGCAGUUCACUCUGCAGCACUGACAGUCAUCUGCACUUCUUCUCAUUCCUCUGUCAGUCACUGCUGGAUGAAGCUCUCCUCUCCACCUCCCAGUAACAUGGCCCAGUCAGAGCGUCUCUACACACAAGCUGCUGCUGCUUCAACCUCUCUGGAUCAUCAGGACACAGCUCCUCCUCUCUCAGCACACACACCGUCCUGUUUACCAUCACCAGCUCCACCUGCAGAGAGAAGAAGGAAGAGCAGAGGAGAUAAACGAGUGUUUCCAGAGACUCUUCAUCAGCUGUCAGUCAGUGAUGCAGCACAUCCAGUAUAAAGAGCAGCAGGGACUUCAGUGCUGGGACUGUACUAGGACUCAUUGUUGCUUCACUUUUUCUAAUCUUUGGAUUUUUAUUGAAGUUGAUGAAAAUGUUUUUCCCUCCUAGUUUGAGUUUGGACUUUCAUUCAUUAGAAGAACCUUGGUGUGUCCACUCUGAGCUCUGUAGGAACCCCAACAACAAGCCCAACAAUCCAGAUGGACGGUUCCAGCUGUUAACUGGAGGAAUUCCAUCCAAACAUCUGCUCUCACUAAAUUCUUCCUCACCUACAGACUGUGUUCUUCACUGCUUUAAACUUGGAAAUGAAUGCAGUCAUUGGUCUGCGUGCUGCUUUGUUCAGAGAGCUGAUUGGCUGUUGACAGUGUUUGAUCAGAGCGUGUCAGCCGUUACUAUGGUGACCAUAAAGGUCAGAAACAGGAAGUGUUUGUGUCCAAUCCUGAAGCCUGUCACCAUUCUCCUCUCACAGCUUCACUGAGAAGCUGCAGCUUUACAGGAAACACUGGAUCUUUGCUUCAUACUGACUGUGUUUAGUACAAUACUGCUGACAGCACCACCCACUCACUCCAUCACUCUACUGACCCCAGAGUCUCCAGUCUGUAGUCUGGACUCUGCUGAAGAUCAGACAGCUGCUUCACAUCUGGAUCCUUCAGGUUGUUUCCCCACAGGUUCAGCUCUCUCAGAUGGGAGGGGUUGGACUUCAGUGCUGCUGCCAGAUAAUCACAGCUGAUCUUUGACAAACCACAGCUCUCCAAUCUGUAUAAAGAAUGAAAGAUGUAAGUUUAUUAGACAAAGUGUGAGCUUGAAAUCAUUCAGUGUUUCAUCAUCUGUUCAGAGCUGAAGAAGGUUCAGAAUGUAGAAGUUUAGAAAAUGGAAACUCCAAACAGCUGAAGCCAACAGGAAGCAGCUUCAAACAGGAAACUGUGCAGAGUUUCAGACUAUAUGUCCUGAUGCAGCCAGUUGGAUUUUGGAGAUUUGAAUCUCUGUUCUGUGACUAAGUCCUUGAAUCAUUUCUUCCAGUUGGUCCAACAAGACAGACUAAGUGUUGGACAUGUGUUGUGGCUCCAUUAGGGGAGCUUCUAAAUGUGAUGUGAUGGCCCCUCUGGGUCUGUCAGGUCACAGCACUGAAGAGAGCUCAAACUGGGCACACAGUUGUUCCAGUCUGGACCAAAGACUCUAUACUGGGACUGAGGGACUGCUUUGACUGCACCCACUGGGACUUUUUAAAGGCUCAUGUUCUCACUUAGAUCAUCGAUUUCUACUUACAUUUCUUUCUGGGAAAAAUGGGGAUAACUUUGGAAACAGGAAGUAUUUUCCCCAAUAAGCAGCCCUGGAUUAGUAAAUCACUCCAACAUGUUCUCAGGCAGAAGAAGCUGUCUUGUUAUGAGGGAGAGAAGAAAAAGAUUGAGGCACAGAAACUUGUUGAAAGAGAGAUAAAGCAGCUAAAAUCAGGUGUAAAAGUAAAGCAGAGGAUGAGCUGAAUAAAGGACACUCAAGGCUGGCUUGGAAAGGAAUGAAGUCCAUGGUGGGGAUGCAGGACAAGGAGCAAAGAUGAAUGUGAUGCUGAAUCAGCAGAAGACUUGGACUCAUUUGAUUCCAGCUUUGAUAUCAUUGAUUUCAAUGAAGAGCUUUGUGAUUGUAGCAAAGGGCUGGUAGCUCUGAGAGUCCCACUGAUGAGGUGUUUGUGUGGAAAUCUCUUAGUGGGACCAAAGAGAGAAAAAGCCCUGGUCCUGAUGCUGUGGGAGGGAAAUGAUUGAAGUGUGCUGUGAGGAACUGACUGGGAGGUUUUCACACAUUUUCCAGUCCUCCUUGGAACAACAGGAAGUUCCCAGCACAUGGAAACAAAGGUUAAGUGUCCUAUGGCACUCAGUGAUGAUGGUGCUGUGGCCCCACCACCUCCACCUCUUUGUAAAGGAACUAACUGUAAUCUGAAGCUUCAAAUGGGACUAAGACUUCCUCCACUAGGUGGCAGUGUCUGAUGAGAAAGUGUUAGUGGAGCUGGCCUGGAGUCAGAAACAGGAAGAUGCAGGAUUUGGGCUGAAAUGGGGAAAAGUGGUUCGCACUAGUGCCUUAAAGCAAGAAGGUUGUAGGUUGAAGCUUGUUGGCCUUUCUGUGGAGGUUGGAUGUUCUCCCACAGUCCAAUGAAAUGCUGCUUAGGUUCAUUGGUGCUUCUAAAUUGGCUGUAGGUGUGGAUGUGAGAGAGUGCUUCUCUGUCUCUCUCUGUUGGCCCUGUGAUGGACUGCUCACCUGUGCAGGUGGACCACGCCUCUUGCCCUAUGACAGCUAGGGCACAGGCUGCAGCCCUGUGAGCCUAAGCUGAAUAAACAGUUAGCAAAAAUGAUCCAUAGAUGGCCUGAAAUCCCCCAGUUAGCAGUUUGGUAGAUAGCUAUGACAUGCUAAUCCCAUCCAGCAGC